RNAcentral lists this ribosomal RNA (497 nucleotides) under uncultured bacterium. RNAcentral's name for it is "partial 16S ribosomal RNA". It matches the Rfam family "Bacterial small subunit ribosomal RNA", at positions 28 to 507 of the family's 1533-position model. The record is from RNAcentral.
GAUGAACGCUGGCGGCGUGCCUAAUACAUGCAAGUCGAGCGAACGGACGAGAAGCUUGCUUCUCUGAUGUUAGCGGCGGACGGGUGAGUAACACGUGGAUAACCUACCGAUAAGACUGGGAUAACGUCGGGAAACCGGAGCUAAUACAGGAUAAUAGUUUGAACCGCAUGGUUCAAAAGUGAAAGACGGUCUUGCUGUCACUUAUAGAUGGAUCCGCGCUGCAUUAGCUAGUUGGUAAGGUAACGGCCUACCAAGGCAACGAUGCAUAGCUGACCUGAGAGGGUGAUCGGUCACACUGGAACUGAGACACGGUCCAGACUCCUACGGGAGGCAGCAGUGGGGAAUCUUCCGCAAUGGGCGAAAGCCUGACCGAGCCACGCCGCGUGAGUGAUGAAGGUCUUCGGAUCGUAAAACUCUGUUAUUAGGGAAGAACAGAUGUGUAAGUAACUCUGCCCAUCUUGACGUUACCUACACAGAAAGCCCCGGCUAACUACGUG